AUACGAAGGGUGCAAGCGUUGUUCGGAUUUACUGGGCGUAAAGCGCGCGCAGGCGGAUUGUUAAGCCAGAUGUGAAAUCUCGGGGCCCAACCCCGAAACUGCGUCUGGAACUGAUAAUCUAGAAUCUUGGAGAGGGAAAUGGAAUUUCGCAUGUAGGGGUAAAAUCCGUAGAGAUGCGAAGGAACACCAGAGGCGAAGGCGGUUUCCUGGCCAAGUAUUGACGCUGAGGCGCGAAAGCGUGGGGAGCAAACAGGAUUAGAUACCCUGGUAGUCCACGCCGUAAACGAUGAGCACUAGAUAUAGGGUUGUUGACCGACUCUGUGUCAAAGCUAACGCAUUAAGUGCUCCGCCUGGGGAGUACGGUCGCAAGACUAAA
This 376-nucleotide ribosomal RNA is filed under the name uncultured Bacteriovoracaceae bacterium. Its description in RNAcentral is "bacterial SSU rRNA". It matches the Rfam family "Bacterial small subunit ribosomal RNA", at positions 523 to 898 of the family's 1533-position model. Lineage: Bacteria; Pseudomonadati; Bdellovibrionota; Bacteriovoracia; Bacteriovoracales; Bacteriovoracaceae. The record is from RNAcentral.